UCUCCAGAGCCGGUAUACUGUAAUUGUAUAAUAUAGUCUUAUCCGCAGAUGUUGUCUAGUUCAAGCAGAGACCCUCCACAAUCUCUUGUUCAUGUAACUCAUUUGCCAAAAAUGGCCACUUGUGCUUCUUUUCAGGUUCAGGUGGCCUCCAUCAUGGAGGUUUUAGCGAAAACGGCAGUUGCAGAAAUUACUAAACUAGUCGACGAUGGGUCUGCUGUUUUACGAUUACAGAUGUGCAGAAGCCAAAGAGAGAACGAAGCGCUAAAAACGAAGUUACUGCUGAUGGAGGGAGAGCUCAGGGCUGUGCGAGGAUACGGAGAGGGAACGCCGGGCAAUUCUCUAAACCUCUCAUUUGAAGUUCAGGUUUGCGACGAAUUCAGAGAGGGACCUGAGUUUUGCAGCUUUUUGCAUCGAAUGUUGCAGGGAAAGGAACUAUACCCGUCACACAGAGAGUCUUUGACGAGCAACUGAGUAGAGGUUCGGCCAAAGAUGAUCAGAACGUGCACGUGGAGAAGAAACGCGACGCGCCGGAUGACUUGGAUAUAUACAGUUUGAGGUAAAAUCAUCAGGACGUAAGGGACUGUGCAUGAAUUUCUAUUAUUUAUGUUUUGGGAUUUUGGGCAGGAGCAUGUUUUUAUUAUUGUAUGUCGGGGAGGGGGCGGGUUCAGAAGAAGGCGGUGAUUUGCUGGCGUUCAGAACUUCCGGUGGACAGAAUCUUCACACUUCCUGUGUGUCAGCCUGUAGAUGGGGAGCAGGAUUGGUGUGAACCUCUGCUGCUUAGCAAGGAUAGGCUGGAAGAGGAUCCACCAAUCACAGGUGGAACAGAACAUCGGUGGGGAGAUCACUUGUGGCAUAUCGGGGGCAGCCGCUGUUGAUGGUGGUGGUGAAGGACCCCUUUGUGACGAGGAGGAGCUGCACAUGCAGCCCUGCCCUGCAGGAGACCCAGAAAAGGAGCUGCAAGCAGAACUCAAACAGGAGCCAGAGGAGCAGCCUCUCACCCCCACACUCCCCCUGUCUGUGGUCUUGGGGCUGGAGCUCCAGUCUGUGUGGAGUGAGGCCACCAGCUCAGGAAUAAUUCUGGGAAAACGGAGAAGGCGCAGAAGACGUUCGGCGCUUGAAGACGCCUGGUUAGAGGACGACAGAGCUAUAAUUAUAUAUAUAUAUAUAUUAAAAUACACCAGGUUGUUCACAAGAGACACAAGAGAGACCGUUCAACUGUACACUAUGCGGAAAGGGUUUCUCCACCAAAAGCAAUCUCAAUUCUCACCAGAAGGUCCACACGGGAGAGAAACCGUACCACUGCGACCAGUGUGGGAAGGGCUUUGGCCAUCUGUCUAAUCUUAAAACUCACCGAAAGGUUCACACUGGGGAGAAACCGUUCAGUUGCACGCUGUGCAGCAGGAGUUUCUCCCAGAAUUGUGCUCUUAAGAGGCACAUAUUUUCUCACAAUAGGCUGAAAAAACUAGGUUAUCUUUGAGCAAAAUCAAAGUUUUACUGUAAUUCAAUUUAGAUUUUGUGAGGAGUUAACUAGUUUUGGCAGGUAUCAGCUGGUUAUACUCAUAAACACAUGCAGUCAAGGACUAAUGGCCAAACAUGUUGGUUUCUAAUAAAACGAGUGAGACCUCUCUUUGAUAUUGAGUGAAAUAUUCCUUGGCCUUUUUCUUUCUUGAUUGUUUGUGAUACACCGGUGAUGAUGGCAAGGAUGCAGUAGCACUUCCAGUGCAAGGGUGUUUAUUAUUUGCAGCCCAAGGAGAUAAUGUGCUCAGUGGGUCCGGGGAAUCCGACCCUUCCUCACCACCUACCCCGCUCAGCUCCUUGUUCAAGCAAUGGUCCUGUCC
Long non-coding RNA from Conger conger (European conger), 1838 nucleotides. RefSeq lists it as uncharacterized. The transcript is spliced from 3 exons. Lineage: Eukaryota; Metazoa; Chordata; Actinopteri; Anguilliformes; Congridae. The record is from RefSeq and is a predicted model, not a curated record.